AACAAAUCAUGCAUAAAUGUUAUAGAGUUGCUUGAAUUCAGGCCAAAAGCAAAAGUUCACCAUGAAAAGAAAACAGCUUCACGUGGGCCUGGAAAAGGUGCAAUAACUGGUCCUGCAUCAGCUUUAGGGGAACUUUGAAUUGCCCAUACAACUUUCUCAUGUUUAGGAACUACUUAAGAUUCAAACCAGUAAACCUAUACCAAACACCAUCCUCCCUGAUGAACUUUCCUACUCAACACAAGUACACGGUACUUUCCUUUUAAGGCUUUAAUAGACAUGAAGUACAGAACAUUUACAUGCUUUAUUGUUUCCCAAAGAACUGUCCAGUAACAUUUCCCACUA
Molecule: unclassified non-coding RNA, 342 nt
Filed under: Hevea brasiliensis (rubber tree)
Lineage: Eukaryota; Viridiplantae; Streptophyta; Magnoliopsida; Malpighiales; Euphorbiaceae
Source: RNAcentral